Molecule: ribosomal RNA, 440 nt
Filed under: uncultured bacterium
Lineage: Bacteria
Description: partial 16S ribosomal RNA
Rfam family: Bacterial small subunit ribosomal RNA
Source: RNAcentral
CCUACGGGAGGCAGCAGUGGGGAAUAUUGCACAAUGGGGGGAACCCUGAUGCAGCGACGCCGCGUGAGUGAAGAAGUAUUUCGGUAUGUAAAGCUCUAUCAGCAGGGAAGAAAAUGACGGUACCUGACUAAGAAGCCCCGGCUAACUACGUGCCAGCAGCCGCGGUAAUACGUAGGGGGCAAGCGUUAUCCGGAUUUACUGGGUGUAAAGGGGGCGCAGACGGCUGUGCAAGUCUGGAGUGAAAGGCGGGGGCCCAACCCCCGGACUGCUCUGGAAACUGUAAAGCUGGAGUGCAGGAGAGGUAAGCGGAAUUCCUAGUGUAGCGGUGAAAUGCGUAGAUAUUAGGAGGAACACCAGUGGCGAAGGCGGCUUACUGGACUGCAACUGACGUUGAGGCUCGAAAGCGUGGGGAGCAAACAGGAUUAGAUACCCCUGUAGUC